UACAGAGGGUGCGAGCGUUAAUCGGAAUUACUGGGCGUAAAGCGCGCGUAGGCGGCUUUGCAAGCCGGAUGUGAAAUCCCCGGGCUUAACCUGGGAACUGCAUUCGGGACUGCAUUGCUAGAGUAUGGGAGAGGGAAGUGGAAUUUCAGGUGUAGCGGUGAAAUGCGUAGAUAUCUGAAGGAACAUCAGUGGCGAAAGCGACUUCCUGGACCAAUACUGACGCUGAGGAGCGAAAGCCAGGGGAGCAAACGGG
RNAcentral lists this ribosomal RNA (253 nucleotides) under uncultured bacterium. Its description in RNAcentral is "partial 16S ribosomal RNA". It matches the Rfam family "Bacterial small subunit ribosomal RNA", at positions 524 to 776 of the family's 1533-position model. The record is from RNAcentral.